This 1286-nucleotide ribosomal RNA is filed under the name Salmonella enterica. RNAcentral describes it as "partial 23S ribosomal RNA". It matches the Rfam family "Bacterial large subunit ribosomal RNA", at positions 1 to 1324 of the family's 2925-position model. Lineage: Bacteria; Pseudomonadati; Pseudomonadota; Gammaproteobacteria; Enterobacterales; Enterobacteriaceae. The record is from RNAcentral.
GAGGUUAAGCGACUAAGCGUACACGGUGGAUGCCCUGGCAGUCAGAGGCGAUGAAGGACGUGCUAAUCUGCGAUAAGCGCCGGUAAGGUGAUAUGAACCGUUAUAACCGGCGAUUUCCGAAUGGGGAAACCCAGUGUGACUCGUCACACUAUCAUUAACUGAAUCCAUAGGUUAAUGAGGCGAACCGGGGGAACUGAAACAUCUAAGUACCCCGAGGAAAAGAAAUCAACCGAGAUUCCCCCAGUAGCGGCGAGCGAACGGGGAGGAGCCCAGAGCCUGAAUCAGCAUGUGUGUUAGUGGAAGCGUCUGGAAAGGCGCGCGAUACAGGGUGACAGCCCCGUACACAAAAGCGCAUGUGCUGUGAGCUCGAUGAGUAGGGCGGGACACGUGGUAUCCUGUCUGAAUAUGGGGGGACCAUCCUCCAAGGCUAAAUACUCCUGACUGACCGAUAGUGAACCAGUACCGUGAGGGAAAGGCGAAAAGAACCCCGGCGAGGGGAGUGAAAAAGAACCUGAAACCGUGUACGUACAAGCAGUGGGAGCACCCUUUGGGGUGUGACUGCGUACCUUUUGUAUAAUGGGUCAGCGACUUAUAUUCUGUAGCAAGGUUAACCGAAUAGGGGAGCCGGAGGGAAACCGAGUCUUAACCGGGCGUUAAGUUGCAGGGUAUAGACCCGAAACCCGGUGAUCUAGCCAUGGGCAGGUUGAAGGUUGGGUAACACUAACUGGAGGACCGAACCGACUAAUGUUGAAAAAUUAGCGGAUGACCUGUGGCUGGGGGUGAAAGGCCAAUCAAACCGGGAGAUAGCUGGUUCUCCCCGAAAGCUAUUUAGGUAGCGCCUCGUGAAUUCAUCUCCGGGGGUAGAGCACUGUUUCGGCUAGGGGGCCAUCCCGGCUUACCAACCCGAUGCAAACUGCGAAUACCGGAGAAUGUUAUCACGGGAGACACACGGCGGGUGCUAACGUCCGUCGUGAAGAGGGAAACAACCCAGACCGCCAGCUAAGGUCCCAAAGUCAUGGUUAAGUGGGAAACGAUGUGGGAAGGCCCAGACAGCCAGGAUGUUGGCUUAGAAGCAGCCAUCAUUUAAAGAAAGCGUAAUAGCUCACUGGUCGAGUCGGCCUGCGCGGAAGAUGUAACGGGGCUAAACCAUGCACCGAAGCUGCGGCAGCGACGCUGAUGCGUUGUUGGGUAGGGGAGCGUUCUGUAAGCCUGUGAAGGUGGCCUGUGAGGGUUGCUGGAGGUAUCAGAAGUGCGAAUGCUGACAUAAGUAACGAUAAAGCGGGUGA